CGAAUAAUCUAGUUCGGCCCCGAACCGUGAAGUAGAAUACUGUCCCCUACACUAUUCCAGAGUGGAGUGGCCCUCCGUGUCACCAAUUUCAGCUUGAAGUUCUCAAAGAAGGCGCCAUUGUUGAGAAAUUAGACGGGAAAUGGUAUGUAAUUCGUAUUUGUUCACUUUGCAGCUAUAAGAGAGGAGCUUACUUGUGCUUGCUGCUUGUGUCAA
This is a long non-coding RNA of Arabidopsis thaliana (thale cress), 213 nucleotides long. RefSeq annotates it as other RNA. NCBI's taxonomy places the organism in Eukaryota, Viridiplantae, Streptophyta, Magnoliopsida, Brassicales, Brassicaceae. The record is from RefSeq. The transcript is spliced from 2 exons.